Molecule: long non-coding RNA, 836 nt
Filed under: Cricetulus griseus (Chinese hamster)
Lineage: Eukaryota; Metazoa; Chordata; Mammalia; Rodentia; Cricetidae
Description: lncRNA (ENSCGRG00000025876.1)
Source: RNAcentral
GUUGGAAAGGUUUUAAUGGUGAAGACUGAGACAUCUUUCCAAGGCCAGCAUGUUGGGUCCUUGUGGGUAGGUGCUUGUCACAGAUAGCAUGCUGGAGCAUUCUGUUUUCUGUUACGAUAAAUCUUUCCACCAAAAGCCGCUGAGCCCUACCGCCACAUGGGAGCUUUACGCCAGUCUCCCCUGUCUGAGUUAGGGCCCAAAUGAAUACACAGAAACUUGUAUUAGGUACAAAGCUGCUUGGCCAAUGACUAGGAUUCUCAUCUGUUAGCUCAGUCUUAAUUAUCAUAAAUCUAUAUAUUUUAUAAGACUUAUCUUAUCAGACGCCUUAUUGGCGUCCCUCCUUGCCGGUGGAUCACAUCCUGCCGCUGGAGCAGGAAUGGGAAAGAGGGCCCUUCCUGUUUCUCCUUCGCUUAAAUAUGAGUCUCCUUGCUACAUCACUUCCUGCCUGGAUCAUCACUUCUCUACUACAUUUCCCAGAAUCCUCUUUGACUCCUAGUCCCGCCUAUCUUGCUGUUUCAUUGGCCAAACAGAACCUUAUUAAACAAUCAAUAAGAUAACAUACACAGAAGUACUUCCCCAUCAGUUUUCUGUGUGAGCCUUUGAUGAUCUUUAAUGUCAAGAAGAUUUCCCAUGCGCCACGGACAGGUAUUAUAAUAACUCUCAAAUAUACAGGAGGAAGAAGACAGUGUGGUUCAUUAGAUUCUAUACUUUGCAUGAAACCCAGUGCAUCACAUCAUCAGUUCCUUUGUGAGCAUUGGACAGAAAUUAUCUGGUCACUCUCGAAGUUCCAGAAAACCAGAGAGCCUCAGCAUCAGACCUGUCUUCAUGGAGAAUGA